This 508-nucleotide ribosomal RNA is filed under the name uncultured bacterium. RNAcentral describes it as "bacterial SSU rRNA". It matches the Rfam family "Bacterial small subunit ribosomal RNA", at positions 19 to 518 of the family's 1533-position model. The record is from RNAcentral.
CUGGCUCAGGAUGAACGCUAGCGGCAGGCUUAACACAUGCAAGUCGAGGGGCAGCGUGGAGUAGCAAUACUCUGACGGCGACCGGCGAAAGGGUGAGUAACGCGUGAGCAACAUGCCCGGUAGUGGAGAAUAGUCGAUGGAAACGUCGCGUAAUACUCCGUAACAUAGAGAACCGCAUGAUUUUCUAUUAAUAGAUUUAUCGCUACCGGAUUGGCUCGCGUACCAUUAGCUAGUUGGCGGGGUAACGGCCCACCAAGGCGACGAUGGUUAGGGGUUCUGAGAGGAAGGUCCCCCCACAUUGGAACUGAGACACGGUCCAGACUCCUACGGGAGGCAGCAGUGAGGAAUAUUGGACAAUGGCCGAGAGGCUGAUCCAGCCAUGCCGCGUGCGGGAAGAACCGGCCCUAUGGGUUGUAAACCGCUUUUGUUGGGGAGCAAUAAGGUCCACGAGUGGAUCGAUGAGAGUACCCAGCGAAUAAGCAUCGGCUAACUCCGUGCCAGCAGCUGC